RNAcentral lists this ribosomal RNA (301 nucleotides) under uncultured bacterium. Its description in RNAcentral is "partial 16S ribosomal RNA". It matches the Rfam family "Bacterial small subunit ribosomal RNA", at positions 509 to 807 of the family's 1533-position model. The record is from RNAcentral.
CAGUAGCCACGGUAAUACGUAGGGUGCAAGCGUUAAUCGGAAUUACUGGGCGUAAAGCGUGCGCAGGCGGUUAUAUAAGUCAGAUGUGAAAUCCCCGGGCUCAACCUGGGAACUGCAUUUGAGACUGUAUGGCUAGAGUGUGUCAGAGGGGGGUAGAAUUCCACGUGUAGCAGUGAAAUGCGUAGAUAUGUGGAGGAAUACCGAUGGCGAAGGCAGCCCCCUGGGAUAACACUGACGCUCAUGUACGAAAGCGUGGGGAGCAAACAGGAUUAGAUACCCCAGUAGUCCCUGUCUCUUAUAC